This is a non-coding RNA of Vicugna pacos (alpaca), 93 nucleotides long. The record is from RefSeq and is a predicted model, not a curated record. NCBI's taxonomy places the organism in Eukaryota, Metazoa, Chordata, Mammalia, Artiodactyla, Camelidae.
CCCUGAUCCAGAAUGUCUCAUUUUGAGAUCCUUAAUUAUAUUUGCAAAGACUUUAUUUUUCCAAAUAAGGUCACACUUGAAUGUCCUGGGUAA